This 416-nucleotide ribosomal RNA is filed under the name uncultured cyanobacterium. Its description in RNAcentral is "bacterial SSU rRNA". It matches the Rfam family "Bacterial small subunit ribosomal RNA", at positions 505 to 918 of the family's 1533-position model. The record is from RNAcentral. Lineage: Bacteria; Bacillati; Cyanobacteriota.
GUGCCAGCCGCCGCGGUAAGACGGAGGAUGCAAGCGUUAUCCGGAAUGAUUGGGCGUAAAGCGUCCGCAGGUGGCAAUUCAAGUCUGCUGUUAAAGCGCAGGGCUUAACUCUGUAAAGGCAGUGGAAACUGAAUAGCUAGAGUGUGGUAGGGGCAGAGGGAAUUCCCAGUGUAGCGGUGAAAUGCGUAGAGAUUGGGAAGAACAUCGGUGGCGAAGGCGCUCUGCUGGACCAUAACUGACACUCACAGGACGAAAGCUAGGGGAGCGAAUGGGAUUAGAUACCCCAGUAGUCCUAGCCGUAAACGAUGGAUACUAGGUGUUGUCUGUAUCGACCCGGACAGUGCCGUAGCUAACGCGUUAAGUAUCCCGCCUGGGGAGUACGCACGCAAGUGUGAAACUCAAAGGAAUUGGCGGGG